Molecule: long non-coding RNA, 225 nt
Filed under: Mytilus galloprovincialis (Mediterranean mussel)
Lineage: Eukaryota; Metazoa; Mollusca; Bivalvia; Mytilida; Mytilidae
Source: RNAcentral
GUUCGGGAUGAACAAGAUAGACAAGUUCAAGAGUUGCAGGAAAGUGGCAUAAUUGAACCCUCUUCUUCUAGUUGGGCAUUUCCAGUGGUCAUGUGUUUUAAACGUUCAGGUGGAUCUAUGAGAAUGGCGAUUGACUAUCGCAAGCUGAAUUCACUUUGUCUCCCUCAAUCCUUCCCCCUCCCCCACAUGGAGAGUGUCUUUGAUGCUAUUGGUGAAAACAAGGCC